GCAUAUCAAUAAGCGGAGGAAAAGAAACCAACAGGGAUUACCUCAGUAACGGCGAGUGAAGCGGUAACAGCUCAAAUUUGAAAUCUGGCCUCACGGUCCGAGUUGUAAUUUGUAGAGGAUGCUUCGAGCAUGGUCUGGCCUAAGUUCCUUGGAACAGGACGUCAUAGAGGGUGAGAAUCCCGUAUGCGGCCAGGUGCCUACGCUCAUGUGAAGCUCCUUCGACGAGUCGAGUUGUUUGGGAAUGCAGCUCAAAAUGGGUGGUAAAUUUCAUCUAAAGCUAAAUAUUGGCCAGAGACCGAUAGCGCACAAGUAGAGUGAUCGAAAGAUGAAAAGCACUUUGGAAAGAGAGUUAAACAGUACGUGAAAUUGUUGAAAGGGAAGCGCUUGCAACCAGACUUGCGCGCGGCCGAUCAUCCGGUGUUCUCACCGGUGCACUCGGCCGUGCUCAGGCCAGCAUCGGUUUUGGCGGCUGGAUAAAGGCCCUAGGAAUGUAGCUCCUCUCGGGGAGUGUUAUAGCCUAGGGUGCAAUGCAGCCUGCUGGGACCGAGGACCGCGCUUCGGCUAGGAUGCUGGCGUAAUGGUUGUAAGCGGCCC
This 594-nucleotide ribosomal RNA is filed under the name Chrysosporium sp. DV-2018a. RNAcentral's name for it is "LSU rRNA". It matches the Rfam family "Eukaryotic large subunit ribosomal RNA", at positions 38 to 650 of the family's 3401-position model. The record is from RNAcentral. Lineage: Eukaryota; Fungi; Ascomycota; Eurotiomycetes; Onygenales; Onygenaceae.